RNAcentral lists this long non-coding RNA (202 nucleotides) under Theobroma cacao (cacao). RNAcentral's name for it is "long non-coding RNA (TCAC_LNC004519)". Lineage: Eukaryota; Viridiplantae; Streptophyta; Magnoliopsida; Malvales; Malvaceae. The record is from RNAcentral.
UUGAAAUAUAUAUUUUCCUAUGAAUGGCUUAUGAAAUAUGAGUAUAUGUGGCUAUAUUUGAUAAAUUGCAUUGGGAAUUUAUGUAAGUUGUUUUUACUAUGCAGGCUGGGUAAAUAAAUAAAAGCCAUGUUAUACUGUCGAAAUUUUAUUAAAAUUGGUGGGUUUAGUCACUACAGUGACGGGUUUUCGUGGACUGCCUAUU